Molecule: ribosomal RNA, 501 nt
Filed under: uncultured bacterium
Lineage: Bacteria
Description: partial 16S ribosomal RNA
Rfam family: Bacterial small subunit ribosomal RNA
Source: RNAcentral
AUUGAACGCUGGCGGCAUGCCUUACACAUGCAAGUCGAACGGCAGCACGGGUGCUUGCACCUGGUGGCGAGUGGCGAACGGGUGAGUAAUACAUCGGAACGUACCUUAUCGUGGGGGAUAACGCAGCGAAAGCUGUGCUAAUACCGCAUACGCCCUGAGGGGGAAAGCGGGGGAUCGAAAGACCUCGCGCGAUUAGAGCGGCCGAUGCCUGAUUAGCUUGUUGGUGGGGUAAAAGCCCACCGAGGCGACGAUCAGUAGCUGGUCUGAGAGGACGAUCAGCCACACUGGGACUGAGACACGGCCCAGACUCCUACGGGAGGAAGCAGUGGGGAAUUUUGGACAAUGGGGGCAACCCUGAUCCAGCAAUGCCGCGUGAGUGAAGAAGGCCUUCGGGUUGUAAAGCUCUUUUGUCAGGGAAGAGACACCGGCUCUAACACAGUCCGGGAAUGACGGUACCUGAAGAAUAAGCACCGGCUAACUACGUGCCAGCAGCCGCCGUAA